Long non-coding RNA from Cyprinus carpio carpio, 1113 nucleotides. The record is from Ensembl. Lineage: Eukaryota; Metazoa; Chordata; Actinopteri; Cypriniformes; Cyprinidae.
AAUGACAAAGCCAAAAUUCAGGCCUUGCCCAAGCUGCCAAGUCCGUCAGCAGGCCAACCGCAAAAACAUGCAGUGCUUGUUUUGCCACACUGCCAAGCAAGCGGUUAUUAAAAACUGCAAAAAUUAAUGAUGACUGGGGCCAGAGGGUCGUCAAAAACAAAAAUGCAUCUCGGGUGGUGGCCUCUGCCCAAAUAGCUGUCCAAAAACUUUCUGCCUUGGGCUAUAUGCCCAUAUUAUUUAUCAGCCAGAGGCACAAGGGCACAGGCAAGUUGAUGGCAGAUGUAGUCACGCAUCUGCCACCGACGCAAAACAACACACGUUUCUUAACCAGCAUGAAGAGGGCAUAUGACUUCAUAAUCAAACUGGAUGGUAAGAUAAGUUUUAUGUAUAGUUCAUUAGUGGUUGUCGUUGAUUUCUUUGACAAUGUGUACUGAAUUUAUAUUUUUGCUAACUUCACAACAGAUGUGCCCCAGCCCCAGCCCCAGCAAGACCAGCCCCUCCACCUAGACCAACCCCUACCCCAAGACCAGCCCCCUGCCCCUAGACCAGCUAAUCCCCACAAGACCAGCCCCCAGACCAGCCCCAGCAAGACCAGCCCCUAGACCAGCCCCAGCAAGACCAGCCCCUGCCCCUAGACCAGCUAAUCCCACAAGACCAGCCCCAGCAAGACCAGCCCCUGCCCCUAGACCAGCUAAUCCCACAAGACCAGCCUACCCCAACAGACCAGCAAAUUAUUAAACUUGAACUAUUUACGAUCGACUCACAGGCUCAGCAGCAUGUGGAGCCUCUACCACCCAGGAAAAGACAAACCCCACUAUCCACCCCGGGCCUACCAUCCACCCCAGGCCAAGGCAAACGAGCCCCACCAUCCAUCCAACCUCAACUAAAGAAAAGACAAACCACAGGUAAAGGAGCCACACAAGCCCCACCCUCUACCCUGGCCAAAAAGAAGAAAACAAAAAGUUGCAAAUGCAGUCGACAGACAAUUUAUCCAUACGAUAAAAUAUUGGAAAGACGGAUGAAUGGGGGGAAGGCAGCAGAGGUCAAAGUGCACUGGCUACCUUGCUCUUCCUGGUAAGUGAUGGCUGAUGUAAUUUAAUCCAUAGCUCCACA